Molecule: ribosomal RNA, 497 nt
Filed under: uncultured bacterium
Lineage: Bacteria
Description: partial 16S ribosomal RNA
Rfam family: Bacterial small subunit ribosomal RNA
Source: RNAcentral
GAUGAACGCUGGCGGCGUGCCUAAUACAUGCAAGUCGAGCGAACGGACGAGAAGCUUGCUUUUCUGAUGUUAGCGGCGGACGGGUGAGUAACACGUGUAUAACCUACCUAUAAGACUGGGAUAACUUCGGGAAACCGGAGCUAAUACCGGAUAAUAUUUUGAACCGCAUGGUUCAAAAGUGAAAGACGGUCUUGCUGUCACUUAUAGAUGGAUCCGCGCUGCAUUAGCUAGUUGGUAAGGUAACGGCUUACCAAGGCAACGAUGCAUAGCCGACCUGAGAGGGUGAUCGGCAACACUGGAACUGAGACACGGACCAGACUCCUACGGGAGGCAGCAGUAGGGAAUCUUCCGCAAUGGGCGAAAGCCUGACGGAGCAACGCCGCGUGAGUGAUGAAGGUCUUCGGAUCGUAAAACUCUGUUAUUAGGGAAGAACAGAUGUGUAAGUAACUGUGCACAGCUUGACGGUAACUAAUCAGAAAGCCACGGCUAACUACGUG